UGGGGAAUAUUGCACAAUGGGCGCAAGCCUGAUGCAGCAACGCCGCGUGAACGAUGAAGGUCUUCGGAUCGUAAAGUUCUGUUGCAGGGGAAGAUAAUGACGGUACCCUGUGAGGAAGCCCCGGCUAACUACGUGCCAGCAGCCGCGGUAAUACGUAGGGGGCUAGCGUUAUCCGGAUUUACUGGGCGUAAAGCGCACGUAGGCGGACUUUUAAGUCAGGGGUGAAAUCCCGGGGCACAACCCCGGAACUGCCUUUGAUACUGGAAGUCUUGAGUAUGGUAGAGGUGAGUGGAAUUCCGAGUGUAGAGGUGAAAUUCGUAGAUAUUCGGAGGAACACCAGUGGCGAAGGCGGCUCACUGGACCAUUACUGACGCUGAGGUGCGAAAGCGUGGGGAGCAAACAGG
Molecule: ribosomal RNA, 404 nt
Filed under: Verrucomicrobiota bacterium
Lineage: Bacteria; Pseudomonadati; Verrucomicrobiota
Description: Verrucomicrobia bacterium partial 16S ribosomal RNA
Rfam family: Bacterial small subunit ribosomal RNA
Source: RNAcentral